Molecule: ribosomal RNA, 493 nt
Filed under: uncultured bacterium
Lineage: Bacteria
Description: partial 16S ribosomal RNA
Rfam family: Bacterial small subunit ribosomal RNA
Source: RNAcentral
GACGAACGCUGGCGGCGUGCCUAACACAUGCAAGUUGAGCGACGAACCAGGGCUUGCCCUGGGGCAAAGCAGCGAACGGGUGAGUAACACGUGGGUAACCUACCCCGAUAACCGGGACAACCCGAGGAAACUCGGGCUAAUACCGGAUGUGCUCACUGGACUUCGGUUCAGUGCGUGAAGGAAGCUUCGGCCUCCGUAUCGGGAGGGGCCCGCGGCCCAUUAGUUUGUUGGUGAGGUAACGGCUCACCAAGACCGCGAUGGGUAGCUGGUCUGAGAGGACGAUCAGCCACACUGGGACUGAGACACGGCCCAGACUCCUACGGGAGGCAGCAGUGGGGAAUCUUGCGCAAUGCGCGAAAGCGUGACGCAGCAACGCCGCGUGGGGGAAGAAGGCCUUCGGGUUGUAAACCCCUUUCAGGAGGGACGAAGGUUCGGCGGUGAAUAGCCGUCCGGACUGACGGUACCUCCACAAGAAGCCCCGGCUAACUACGUG